AGGCCCGUAGUCUAGUGUUAGGUCACUUAGACCGAACGGAGAUCCAGGAUAUGAUGCUGCCCUGCGGAGGCAGAUAUAGGGGUUCAAACGGUGCCAACGCGGCGUCUGAAUUUCCCCUCGGGCCCG
This 126-nucleotide transfer RNA is filed under the name Thermoproteota archaeon. RNAcentral describes it as "tRNA-Arg". Lineage: Archaea; Thermoproteati; Thermoproteota. RNAcentral also lists the same sequence under 1 other name. The record is from RNAcentral.